UACGUAGGUGGCAAGCGUUGUCCGGAUUUACUGGGCGUAAAGCGCACGUAGGCGGCUUAGUAAGUUGGAUGUGAAAUCCCUCGGCUUAACCAAGGAAGUGCAUCCAAAACUACUGAGCUUGAGUACUAAAGAGGAUCGCGGAAUUCCCGGUGUAGAGGUGAAAUUCGUAGAUAUCGGGAGGAACACCAGUGGCGAAGGCGGCGAUCUGGGUAGAUACUGACGCUGAGGUGCGAAAGCGUGGGGAGCAAACAGG
RNAcentral lists this ribosomal RNA (253 nucleotides) under uncultured bacterium. Its description in RNAcentral is "partial 16S ribosomal RNA". It matches the Rfam family "Bacterial small subunit ribosomal RNA", at positions 524 to 776 of the family's 1533-position model. The record is from RNAcentral.